AACGAACGCUGGCGCCAGGCUUAACACAUGCAAGUCGAGCGCCCCGCAAGGGGAGCGGCUGCCGGGUGAGUAACGCGUGGGAACGUACCCUUAUCUUCGGGAUAGCCCCGGGAAACUGGAAUUAAUACCGAAUGUGCCCUUUGGGGGAAAGAUUUAUCGGAUAAGGAUCGGCCCGCGUUGGAUUAGCUAGUUGGUGGGGUAAAGGCCUACCAAGGCGACGAUCCAUAGCUGGUCUGAGAGGAUGAUCAGCCACAUUGGGACUGAGACACGGCCCAAACUCCUACGGGAGGCAGCAGUGGGGAAUAUUGGACAAUGGGCGCAAGCCUGAUCCAGCCAUGCCGCGUGAGUGAUGAAGGCCUUAGGGUUGUAAAGCUCUUUCACCGGAGAAGAUAAUGACGGUAUCCGGAGAAGAAGCCCCGGCUAACUUCGUG
This 431-nucleotide ribosomal RNA is filed under the name uncultured bacterium. Its description in RNAcentral is "partial 16S ribosomal RNA". It matches the Rfam family "Bacterial small subunit ribosomal RNA", at positions 29 to 507 of the family's 1533-position model. The record is from RNAcentral.